RNAcentral lists this ribosomal RNA (439 nucleotides) under uncultured bacterium. Its description in RNAcentral is "partial 16S ribosomal RNA". It matches the Rfam family "Bacterial small subunit ribosomal RNA", at positions 339 to 795 of the family's 1533-position model. The record is from RNAcentral.
CUACGGGACGCUGCAGUGGGGAAUAUUGCACAAUGGAGGAAACUCUGAUGCAGCAACGCCGCGUGGAGGAUGACACUUUUCGGAGCGUAAACUCCUUUUAUAUAGGAAGAAGAUGACGGUACUAUAUGAAUAAGCGCCGGCUAACUCCGUGCCAGCAGCCGCGGUAAUACGGAGGGCGCAAGCGUUACUCGGAAUCACUGGGCGUAAAGUGCGUGUAGGCGGAUUAAAAAGUCAGAAGUGAAAUCCUAUAGCUUAACUAUAGAACUGCUUCUGAAACUCUUAAUCUAGAAUAUGGGAGAGGUAGAUGGAAUUUCUGGUGUAGGGGUAAUAUCCGUAGAGAUCAGAAGGAAUACCGAUUGCGAAGGCGAUCUACUAGAACAUUAUUGACGCUGAGACGCGAAAGCGUGGGGAGCAAACAGGAUUAGAUACCCCAGUAGUC